GGGGAUGUAGCUCAAUAGGGAGAGCACCGCCCUUGCACGGCGGGGGUCGGGGGUUCGAGUCCCCCCAUCUCCA
Molecule: transfer RNA, 73 nt
Filed under: Caldifarciminota bacterium
Lineage: Bacteria; Pseudomonadati; Caldifarciminota
Also listed under: 1 other name
Description: tRNA-Ala
Rfam family: tRNA
About the family: Transfer RNA (tRNA) molecules are approximately 80 nucleotides in length. Their secondary structure includes four short double-helical elements and three loops (D, anti-codon, and T loops).
Source: RNAcentral